RNAcentral lists this ribosomal RNA (403 nucleotides) under uncultured bacterium. RNAcentral describes it as "partial 16S ribosomal RNA". It matches the Rfam family "Bacterial small subunit ribosomal RNA", at positions 29 to 526 of the family's 1533-position model. The record is from RNAcentral.
AUUGAACGCUGGCGGCAGGCCUAACACAUGCAAGUCGAGCGAGCGGCGGACGGGUGAGUAAUGUAUGGGGACUGCCCGAUAGAGGGGGAUAACUACUGGAAACGGUGGCUAAUACCGCAUACUAUCGGAUAACCCAUAUGGGAUUAGCUAGUAGGGGGGGUAAAGGCUCACCUAGGCGACGAUCUCUAGCUGGUCCGAGAGGAUGAUCAGCCACACUGGAACGGGGACACGGCCCAGACUCCGACGGAGGCAGCAGUGGGGAAUAUUGCAAAGUAGGCGCAAGCCUGAUGAAGCCAUGCCGCGUGUAUGAAGGAGGCCUUAGGGUUGUAAAGUACUUUCAGCGGGGAGGCGUUACCCGCAGAAGAAGCACCGGCUAACUCCGUGCCAGCAGCCGCGGUGAUUC